This 2302-nucleotide long non-coding RNA is filed under the name Homo sapiens (human). RNAcentral's name for it is "non-protein coding LINC02541:43". The record is from RNAcentral. Lineage: Eukaryota; Metazoa; Chordata; Mammalia; Primates; Hominidae.
AGAAGCCAGGAGGAGUUAGGAACAGACUAUAAGAAAUGGUUGGUCUGGAGGAAAAAGGGUAAAACUUAUGAGCCAUUCACUGAUGUAUUGGUAAGAGGACAGGAGUCCUGGGGAAAGACUGCCUCAUUUACACUCCAAAGACUUGGGUUCUGAUCUCCAUGUCGUGGCUUAUCAUAGUGUAAGCCAGUUAUGUACCUCUAGAAAUGGAAGUUUCUGCUGUUUAUAAACUGGAAAUAAUGAUACAUGUCCUGACUCCUAUUGGGUUGUUGCAAAGGAAUCAAUUGAAAUAAGACAAGACUUUCUGAAGGCACUUUGCCAACUUUCAGAACUGUAAAGAUUAAGGGACUGCUACUAUGUGCUGCUCAGGAAAUAACAGGCACCUGGGAAAACCCACGAAGUAAGGUUUUGUAAGAAGUUGCUCUGCUCCCUGGGAGAAAACGCGGAGCUCAACACUGCCAAGAGGAACAAGUCUGGGAAAUUACGACAUGAGGGCCCUUGUGAAUUGAUGAAUAUGAAGACACUAAGAAAGCAGAAAUAGAACUGAGAAGAAUGAAAUAACUGUCUCUACCUUUCUCGAAUUGUCUAAUAUGGAAAGAAUGAAAGACAGCUAAUAAGCAACUCUCUGCAAGAAGACAUAUGGCUUAGAAUCUACUUGGAGAGAGUCAAACACAGAAUCCCUUUGAAUUUAAUGGCCAUUCCAGGUGAUUUGAACAGCCAAAUAAGAAACAGGUCCUCUUCAAUGUACAAUCUGCCAAGUAUGAAGUCUGAAUGACCAUCAUUAUUAUGUAUUUAAUGUGCAUAGAAAAUCUAUCUGCAACCUUCCAGAGUGUACCAGAAGUUUGGAAUGUACAUUAUUAUUGGCUCCAUCUCAAACCACUCAUAAAUCAAAGAAAAUAGCAGUUCCAGAGGAAUCAUCAUAGAGGCUUCUAGGCCCCCAUGCUGUGUGAACCUGGUGAGAAAGGGAAGUCUGCUCUCACUGGACACUGGAACUGUUUGUCUCUGUCUCUGCUGUACUUUCCCUGCCUCUACCUCACUUAGUAAAGAAAUCAUCUUUGCUUGAUAACUAAAACAACCAAUAAGGCUGAGAAAGGGGAAAACCCACAUCUGGAUUUAAAUACAAGGUAUUGGGCCAGCUGCUGGGGAUUAAACUUUGAACAAAACAGAUAGAAUCUAUGUCCUCAUGGGAGUGGCUAAUGGGAGAGUCGGAACAAAAAAAUAGCCAAGGAUAAUCCAGCAAAUGAUUUGGUGAAUGCUAUCAAAGAGAGAAAUACACAUGCUCUGGGAACACCAAACAGAGUCUCCCUCUCUGACCCAGGCUGGAGUGCCGUGGUAUGAUCUCGGCUCACUGCAACUUCUGCCUCCCAGCUUCAAGCAAUUCUCCUGUCUUAGCUUCCCAAGUAGCUGGGAUUACAGGCGUGCACCACCACACCAGGCUAAUUUUGUAUUUUUAGUAGAGACGGGGUUUUGCCAUGUUGGCCAGGCUGGUCUCGAACCCCUGACCUCAGGUGAUCUGCCCACCUCAACCUCCCAAAGUGCUGGGAUUACAGGUGUGAGCCACUGCAUCUGGCCUCAUAUAUUUUACUAUAACAAAUCAGUGUAGGCCAAAUAAAGUUAGAAAUGGAAGCUAAUGGAAAUAAAGAAUAGGCUUUCCUGUUAGUAUCUAUAGGUGUGUGUGUGUGUGUUCGUUAUUUAGGGAAAGAAACAGGGAACUUGGGGCAUAUAAUAUUUAUGUUCCCUUAGCUUAGGCAUAUAUGGUAUAUUUAGUUACUUAAUUAAUUUUUUAUUUAGAAGUUAUGUAUAGAGCAUUUUUCCUAGGCCAGUGGGGGAUUAAACCAGAAAUAUAAGAAGUGUCUGCCUUCUGGAAGCUUGUGAUCUAGUUAGGGGUAUCACAAGUGCACAGCGUUCACCAGUGGCAGAGAAGCAUGUGAUGAGUACCCAGAGCUUAUAUUGAGAAUAAGGUAUACAAGAAUUUAGAGGAGGCCAAUGUUGAUUUUCACCAAGAGUAUGGGACAGAGAGACAAGACAGGGUUGGUCAUCUAGUUCUGUGCACUGAAUAUAAUUUUGCAGGUUUAGGAGUGUUUGAAAACUACAAGGAAGAUAGAAUCUUGGUCUUGUUCUCCAGCAUGCCCUUUCUUGAACUCACCAGGGUAAUGCUGCAUCUUUUCAGAAAUGCCUCUGGCUUCUCAAAGCAACUUUCAUCCUGGAGAGGAACAAUUAGUCUUUGUCUUUCAUUAGUAAAAGAUUUAACGGCUCAGAAGGAGAAGCUAGUGGUGACUUUUCAAUCACCCCUUCUACCUCCCAG